RNAcentral lists this ribosomal RNA (492 nucleotides) under uncultured bacterium. Its description in RNAcentral is "partial 16S ribosomal RNA". It matches the Rfam family "Bacterial small subunit ribosomal RNA", at positions 29 to 507 of the family's 1533-position model. The record is from RNAcentral.
AGUGAACGCUGGCGGUAGGCCUAACACAUGCAAGUCGAACGGCAGCACAGUAAGAGCUUGCUCUUCCGGGUGGCGAGUGGCGGACGGGUGAGGAAUACAUCGGAAUCUACUUUUUCGUGGGGGAUAACGUAGGGACACUUACGCUAAUACCGCAUACGACCUACGGGUGAAAGCAGGGGAUCUUCGGACCUUGCGCGAUUGAAUGAGCCGAUGUCGGAUUAGCUAGUUGGCGGGGUAAAGGCCCACCAAGGCGACGAUCCGUAGCUGGUCUGAGAGGAUGAUCAGCCACACUGGAACUGAGACACGGUCCAGACUCCUACGGGAGGCAGCAGUGGGGAAUAUUGGACAAUGGGCGCAAGCCUGAUCCAGCCAUACCGCGUGGGUGAAGAAGGCCUUCGGGUUGUAAAGCCCUUUUGUUGGGAAAGAAAAGCAGCAGGUUAAUACCCCGCUGUUCUGACGGUACCCAAAGAAUAAGCACCGGCUAACUUCGUG